This 922-nucleotide long non-coding RNA is filed under the name Olea europaea subsp. europaea. The record is from RNAcentral. Lineage: Eukaryota; Viridiplantae; Streptophyta; Magnoliopsida; Lamiales; Oleaceae.
CAUUUGAGAGAGAGCAUAGAAAGGUAACCAAGUGGGAGCUUUCCAUAACUCCGGCGAAAUUCUUGGUGGCUUCCGAUGGAUCCUUUCUCGGUAUAUCCAUUGUCAUUCCUGUGGACGAUGAUGCAUGAUCCGGUGUGGUACAAAUCUGAGCUCAACAUCAAGAACACUUCAUUGGUGGUGUUGAAGAAGCUUUAAGUCGUGUUUGGUUCGGUACACUUUGAGAGUUUAUUAUUUCGCAUUGUAGUUGUAAUAAUUUUUUGUAUACUACACUUUAAACUCAACAAAUGGUAUCGGAGCUUAGGCUAGUGGUAAAAAGUGUUAAAACAACCUGAAAAUCGGAUUGGAAGUCGAAAGGGUACGAUUUUGUUCGAAAACAAGUUCAGCAGAAACUUUGAACCCAUUUUCUGGAACAACUACACAUAUGGUGGACAAACAGAGACCACCACCAGACUCCAAACAUCAAGCAGAACAUUCCGGUGCAGCGCGUGUUGAACAUGCGCAGGUGGUGGAGGUGGCGCGUGAGACCACGCGCAGAGAACAAAGGCGGCGCAUGAGGGUGCAUCAUGAGGUUUCAAUCAGAGGUCAAAAAAGACAGAUUGUUUCUUGAUGAAUUUCUGACCUUCUAGUGGUGUUGGAUUUCAGUUUGGUACACUGUGGAAGCAGAUACAAUCUUGGGCAGAAAAGUGGAAACGGAGAAACUUUUCCGUUGGCGGCUCGGUGGUGUUUCCUAGUAUUUCAGUAGCUGUUGGAUGACUUAGGGCAGAUACUGGAGGCUUCAAAUCAAUAAAGACUCGCAUCUCUCCUUAAAAUACGAACCAAUAGAUUGGUUUUCGCAUUCUAACGCCCUCUCGAAUUUACAAUUGAAAUAUUGUGUUAUUUGCUGCCAUAUUGUUACUUGACUCUUGUGAUAUUGGUUAUGUGU